This 602-nucleotide unclassified non-coding RNA is filed under the name Hevea brasiliensis (rubber tree). Lineage: Eukaryota; Viridiplantae; Streptophyta; Magnoliopsida; Malpighiales; Euphorbiaceae. The record is from RNAcentral.
GAAUCUUUCAACUAGAACAAGAGUGGGAAGUGUAAUGGGCUCAUGGGAAAAUCUUCAGGAAUGAAAUUUUCCAGAAUCUAAUUCUAGGAAACCGUUAUAUUUGACAGUUUGUUGGUGCUUCUUUUGCUCCUUAAUUAUUUGACAAAAAGCAUCAAUCUAUUGCAAUUGAAGGGAAGAUCUUUGCACAGCCACGAAGGAAACUACAAGCAGAGUUUGCAAAGUAUGGUUUAUAAUAUAGUUAGUCGGCACCUUGCAUAUCAUUAUACCUUGCUCCUUCUCCAUACUCCUCCGCCUCCACUAAUUACAGAUCCAAGUUCGAUGCUUCUCCUCAACCAGAGAACCUUCGCAUCAUCUCUUUCACUUCAUUUCCAUCCUAAGCAGCAUUAAAGCUGAUCGAAAUUUACUGCAGAACCUGGAUUCUCGAUUUGCUCAAACAAGCUACUUACCUAGCAGAAGCAUAUGUUAUCGCAUCUGUUUAUGGGUCGGGCAUUAAAGCUGAUUAAAAUUUCGUACAAUUCCAUGAUUUGGGAACCAAGGCAAGAGAGGAGAUUGAUGCUUUUGGCUUUCAAUUUGGGACAGAAAUGCGGCUGCAUUGCAUUAAU